GACGAACGCUGGCGGCAUGCCUAAUACAUGCAAGUCGAGCGAACAGAUGAAGUGCUUGCACUUCUGACGUUAGCGGCGAACGGGUGAGUAACACGUAAGGAAUCUACCUAUAAGCGGGGGAUAACAUUCGGAAACGGGUGCUAAUACCGCAUAAUAUCUUCUUCCGCAUGGAAGAAGAUUGAAAGACGGCUCUGCUGUCACUUAUAGAUGACCUUGCGGUGCAUUAGUUAGUUGGUGGGGUAACGGCCUACCAAGACGAUGAUGCAUAGCCGACCUGAGAGGGUGAUCGGCGACAUUGGGACUGGGCAACGGCCCAAACUCCUACGGGAGGCAGCAGUAGGGAAUCUUCCGCAAUGGGCGAAAGCCUGACGGAGCAAUGCCGCGUGAGUGAAGAAGGCCUUCGGGUCGUAAAACUCUGUUAUAAGAGAAGAACAAAUUGUAGAGUAACUGCUACAGUCUUGACGGUAUCUUAUCAGAAAGCCACGGCUAACUACGUGCCAGCCGCCGCUGUAA
RNAcentral lists this ribosomal RNA (513 nucleotides) under uncultured bacterium. RNAcentral describes it as "partial 16S ribosomal RNA". It matches the Rfam family "Bacterial small subunit ribosomal RNA", at positions 28 to 523 of the family's 1533-position model. The record is from RNAcentral.